Molecule: ribosomal RNA, 300 nt
Filed under: uncultured Caldivirga sp.
Lineage: Archaea; Thermoproteati; Thermoproteota; Thermoprotei; Thermoproteales; Thermoproteaceae
Description: bacterial SSU rRNA
Rfam family: Bacterial small subunit ribosomal RNA (bases 55-300)
Source: RNAcentral
GGUACGGCGGUGCCGGGAUGCGCGGUUAGCGGGAGGGGGCAGGCGUGUGCUGGGAUUAGUGGUGGGUAAGGGGUCGUGGGCGGGUCGUCGCGGCCGUGGUGAAAGUCCAGCGCUUAACGGUGGCUCGGCGCCGGGUACGGGCGGGCUGGAGUGCGGUAGGGGAGACUGGAAUUCCCGGUGUAACGGUGGAAUGUGUAGAUAUCGGGAAGAACACCAAUGGCGAAGGCAGGUCUCUGGGCCGUUACUGACGCUGAGGAGCGAAAGCGUGGGGAGCGAACAGGAUUAGAUACCCGUGUAGUC